GACGAACGCUGGCGGCGUGCUUAACACAUGCAAGUCGAACGGAAAGGCCCUGCUUUUGUGCGUUGCUCGAGUGGCGAACGGGUGAGUAACACGUGAGUAACCCGUCCUUGACUUUAGGAUAAAUUCAGGAAACUGGGGCUAAUACCGGAUAGGAGCUCCUGCCGUAUGGAGCGGGUUGGAAAGAUUCGGCGGAUGGGGAUGGACUCGCGGCUUAUCAUCUUGUUGGUGGGGGAGCGGGUCAGCAAAGUGUUGAAGGGUAGCCGGACUGAGAGGGUGACCGGGCAAAUUGGGAAUGGGGUUCGGCCCAGAAUACUACGGGAGGGAGGAGGGGGGAAAAAUGCACAAGGGGCGGAAGCCUGGUGCAGCAACGCCGGGGGCGAGAUGACAGCCUUCGGGUUGGAAACCGGUUUCGCCCGGGAAGAAGCGUGAGGGACGGUAAUGGAGAAGGAAGCACCGGCUAACUACGU
RNAcentral lists this ribosomal RNA (467 nucleotides) under uncultured bacterium. RNAcentral's name for it is "partial 16S ribosomal RNA". It matches the Rfam family "Bacterial small subunit ribosomal RNA", at positions 28 to 506 of the family's 1533-position model. The record is from RNAcentral.